ACUACUUUGGCAGAAAAAUGUAAUAAAUUUAGAAUUUAUUUAUGUAAUAAAUAUUACAAGUGGUA
Molecule: transfer RNA, 65 nt
Filed under: Pseudophylus stundjuki
Lineage: Eukaryota; Metazoa; Arthropoda; Insecta; Hemiptera; Miridae
Description: tRNA-Leu
Source: RNAcentral